RNAcentral lists this ribosomal RNA (443 nucleotides) under uncultured bacterium. RNAcentral's name for it is "partial 16S ribosomal RNA". It matches the Rfam family "Bacterial small subunit ribosomal RNA", at positions 338 to 795 of the family's 1533-position model. The record is from RNAcentral.
CCUACGGGUGGCAGCAGUGGGGAAUAUUGGGCAAUGGGCGCAAGCCUGACCCAGCAACGCCGCGUGAAGGAAGAAGGCUUUCGGGUUGUAAACUUCUUUUCUCAGGGACGCAGCAAGUGACGGUACCUGAGGAAUAAGUCACGGCUAACUACGUGCCAGCACCCGCGGUAAUACGUAGGUGGCAAGCGUUAUCCGGAUUUACUGGGUGUAAAGGGCGUGUAGGGGGGAAAGCAAGUCAGAUGUGAAAACCAUGGGCUCAACCUGUGGCCUGCAUUUGAAACUGUUUUUCUUGAGUGGAGUAGAGGUAAGCGGAAUUCCUAGUGUAGCGGUGAAAUGCGUAGAUAUUAGGAGGAACACCAGUGGCGAAGGCGGCUUACUGGGCUUUAACUGACGCUGAGGCUCGAAAGCGUGGGUAGCGAACAGGAUUAGAUACCCGAGUAGUC